Molecule: ribosomal RNA, 790 nt
Filed under: uncultured Ascomycota
Lineage: Eukaryota; Fungi; Ascomycota
Description: LSU rRNA
Rfam family: Eukaryotic large subunit ribosomal RNA
Source: RNAcentral
AGCAGCCAGACUUGCCUGUAGUUGCUUAUCCGGACUUUUGUCCGGUGCACUCUUCUGCGGGCAGGCCAGCAUCAGUUUAGGCGGUUGGAUAAAGGUCUCUGUCAUGUACCUCUCUUCGGGGAGGCCUUAUAGGGGAGACGACAUGCAACCAGCCUGGACUGAGGUCCGCGCAUCUGCUAGGAUGCUGGCGUAAUGGCUGUAAGCGGCCCGUCUUGAAACACGGACCAAGGAGUCUAACAUCUAUGCGAGUGUUUGGGUGUCAAGCCCAGACGCGUAAUGAAAGUGAACGGAGGUGGGAACCCUUACGGGUGCACCAUCGACCGAUCCUGAUGUCUUCGGAUGGAUUUGAGUAAGAGCAUGGCUGUUGGGACCCGAAAGAUGGUGAACUAUGCUUGAAUAGGGUGAAGCCAGAGGAAACUCUGGUGGAGGCUCGCAGCGGUUCUGACGUGCAAAUCGAUCGUCAAAUUUGGGCAUAGGGGCGAAAGACUAAUCGAACUAUCUAGUAGCUGGUUCCUGCCGAAGUUUCCCUCAGGAUAGCAGUAACGUAUUCAGUUUUAUGAGGUAAAGCGAAUGAUUAGAGGCCUGGGGGUUGAAACAACCUUCACCUAUUCUCAAACUUUAAAUAUGUAAGAAGUCCUUGUUACUUGAUUGAACGUGGACACUUGAAUGUACCGUUACUAGUGGGCCAUUUUUGGUAAGCAGAACUGGCGAUGCGGGAUGAACCGAACGGGGGGUUAAGGUGCCAGAAUAUACGCUCAUCAGACACCACAAAAGGUGUUGGUUCAUCUAG